AACAAAAAUACGAAUCAAUAUAUAAUAAUGCAUCCAGUCCCAAUUUCCAUCACGUUUGAAAAGUGAGAUUAGAUUGAAUAAUUACAAUGUAAUUUUUGUUAUCAAAUCAAAUUAAAGAGAAUAUUGAAAAAACUAAAUCUAACAACUUGAAUGACCCCCACUACAACAUUUUGCAUUAUAUAUCACAUUUGAAAAUGACUUUUUUAAAAAAGUGUUAUUGUUUUAAACAACUAAGGCGGGAUCCAAUUACAUAUUCAACAUUGGGCUGUAAUAUAUAAUAUUUACUAUUGGCCUCUUUUACUGUAGAAACUAGAAAAGUAACGUGAUCUCCGAUUUCAUCUUCUCCGUCCUUACUAGCGGUCACUCUUCUGCUCUUCCGAUCAUAAUAUACCUCUUCCUCCAAUGCCGAUUUAUCCAAUUUCAUCUCCCUUUGGUGUCUCCUGUAGACCUCCGGCCUCCUCAGUCCGCCAGCCGGAUCGGCUGUUCUUGUCGUCGGACCAUUGUUGCGGUCGCAUCUCGGCAUUUCCUACUCCCUUGCACAGCUGCUGUCGCGACUAGUGUUGCUGUGGUCGUCUCUCUUCUUCAUUCACCAUCGCUCGUUGUCAAGAAAUUUAGCAUAAAAAAAACAGAGCACAGAGUCAUCCACUGUUGUGCAUAAGAUGGAAAGUGGUGAGCAAGUCACUUAGAAAAUAACUUCAAUGGAAAAGAAGAGGAAAAUCCCAAACGAGUUCCCUAAUCGAAGAUUUUGUGUUGACAGGAUUAUACUGGUGAAGAUGUCAAUGUUGAUAACUUUUUCGCGGCUAUCCUCGGAAAUAAAACUGCCAUCAAAGGGGGUAGUGGGAAGGUUGUAGAUAGUAGUCCAAAUGAUCAUAUCUUUGUCUACUACUCUGAUCAUGGUGGUCCUGGAGUUCUUGGAAUGCCUACUUAUCCUUACCUUUCUGCCGAUGAUCUGAAUGAAGUUUUAAAAUAGAAGCAUGCUUCAGGGACCUACGAAAGCUUGGUAUUUUAUCUUGAGGCUUGUGAAUCUGGAAGUAUCUUCGAAGGUAUUCUCCCUGAGGGUUUGAAUAUCUAUGCAACCACUGCUUCAAAUGCAGAGGAAAGCAGUUGGGGUACUUACUGCCCUGGAGAGUAUCCCAGUCCUCCGCCGGAAUACGAAACCUGUUUGGGCGACUUGUACAGUGUUGCUUGGAUGGAAGACAGUGACGUACACAAUCUGCGGACGGAAACUUUGCAUCAGCAGUAUGAACUGGUUAAGAAGAGCACAUCCAGUGACAAUUCUGCUUAUGGGUCUCAUGUGAUGCAAUAUGGGGAUAUUGGGAUUAGCAAAGACAGUCUCUUCAAUUAUAUUGGUACAAAUCCCGCAAAUGAAAAUGACUAAGUGAAUGUCCAAAGCUUUCUCAAAUAUUCCACCACUCUUCCAAACCUUUACGUGGUAGAGGGAUUUGAUUCAAUGGCUCUCACUUCAUGACCAUCACGGGUACCUGCAAAGCUAUUCUUAUGAUAUACUCCAUUGAUGUCGUAUUAGAAUUUUAAGGUCUAUGCUACUUUAUUCACUCCAAUCGUGCUAAGGAUUUCGUGGAUGACCAAGUGUAUUUGAUCGACUCCUGAGGAUGACCACUAGAGCGACUCCAAUACUAUAACGGACGAUAUCGAUGUCGCCGAAGUCAUAGGAGAUGAAGUGCAAAGAAGAAUGUCAUCCAUGACUAUUGGUGCUAUUGGUUCGUUGGUCGUGAAACAUGGAAGUUUUUUUAAAAUUUUAGCAAAAAGUCUUAGCUAGAAUUUUAUCAUGAUGACUUUGAUUCUCUAAACUCUACUUUUUGAAAGUUAUUCACUUCUUAAGUGAAACAUGUAUUUGGACCGAGUUAACUAAUAUGAUGGUAUUGACAUUUUUGUAAA
Molecule: long non-coding RNA, 1896 nt
Organism: Humulus lupulus (European hop)
Lineage: Eukaryota; Viridiplantae; Streptophyta; Magnoliopsida; Rosales; Cannabaceae
Exons: 9
Source: RefSeq, a predicted model, not a curated record